This 253-nucleotide ribosomal RNA is filed under the name uncultured bacterium. RNAcentral's name for it is "partial 16S ribosomal RNA". It matches the Rfam family "Bacterial small subunit ribosomal RNA", at positions 524 to 776 of the family's 1533-position model. The record is from RNAcentral.
GACGAAGGAUGCAAGCGUUAUCCGGAUUCAUUGGGUUUAAAGGGCGCGUAGGCGGGCUUGUAAGUCAGUGGUGAAAUCUGUGGGCUUAACCCACAAACUGCCAUUGAUACUGCAGGUCUAGAGUACAGUUGCCGUUGGCGGAAUAUGACAUGUAGUGGUGAAAUACUUAGAUAUGUCAUAGAACACCGAUUGCGAAGGCAGCUAACGAAACUGUAACUGACGCUGAGGCUCGAAAGUGCGGGGAUCAAACAGG